GGCGAACGGGUGAGUAAUGUAUCGGAACGUACCAUUCAGUGAAAGAUAACGUAACGAAAGUGACGCUAAUACCGCAUAUACUGUGAGCAAGAAAGCAGGGGAUCGCAAGACCUUGCGCUGAUUGAGCGGCCGAUAUCAGAUGAGCUAGUUGGUGAGGUAAAGGCUCACCAAGGCGACGAUCUGUAGCGGGUCUGAGAGGAUGAUCCGCCACACUGGAACUGAGACACGGUCCAGACUCCUACGGGAGGCAGCAGUGGGGAAUUUUGGACAAUGGGGGCAACCCUGAUCUAGCCAUGCCGCGUGAGUGAAGAAGGCCUUCGGGUUGUAAAGCUCUUUCGGCCGGGAAAAAAUCGCAUAGGUUAAUACCCUGUGUGGAUGAUGGUACCGGAAUAAGAAGCACCGGCUAACUACGUGCCAGCAGCCGCGGUAAUACGUAGGGUGCGAGCGUNAAUCGGAAUUACUGGGCGUAAAGCGUGCGCAGGCGGUUUGAUAAGACAGGCGUGAAAUCCCCGGGCUCAACCUGGGAACUGCGUGUGUGACUGUCUCACUAGAGUACGGCAGAGGGGGGUGGA
RNAcentral lists this ribosomal RNA (572 nucleotides) under uncultured beta proteobacterium. RNAcentral's name for it is "bacterial SSU rRNA". It matches the Rfam family "Bacterial small subunit ribosomal RNA", at positions 97 to 665 of the family's 1533-position model. Lineage: Bacteria; Pseudomonadati; Pseudomonadota; Betaproteobacteria. The record is from RNAcentral.